GCUUUGAAGUGUGGACGCCAGUCUGCAUGGAGCCGACCUUGAAAUACCACCCUUUAAUGUUUGAUGUUCUAACGUUGACCCGUGAUCCGGGUUGCGGACAGUGUCUGGUGGGUAGUUUGACUGGGGCGGUCUCCUCCUAAAGAGUAACGGAGGAGCACGAAGGUUGGCUAAUCCUGGUCGGACAUCAGGAGGUUAGUGCAAUGGCAUAAGCCAGCUUGACUGCGAGCGUGACGGCGCGAGCAGGUGCGAAAGCAGGUCAUAGUGAUCCGGUGGUUCUGAAUGGAAGGGCCAUCGCUCAACGGAUAAAAGGUACUCCGGGGAUAACAGGCUGAUACCGCCCAAGAGUUCAUAUCGACGGCGGUGUUUGGCACCUCGAUGUCGGCUCAUCACAUCCUGGGGCUGAAGUAGGUCCCAAGGGUAUGGCUGUUCGCCAUUUAAAGUGGUACGCGAGCUGGGUUUAGAACGUCGUGAGACAGUUCGGUCCCUAUCUGCCGUGGGCGCUGGAGAACUGAGGGGGGCUGCUCCUAGUACGAGAGGACCGGAGUGGACGCAUCACUGGUGUUCGGGUUGUCAUGCCAAUGGCACUGCCCGGUAGCUAAAUGCGGAAGAGAUAAGUGCUGAAAGCAUCUAAGCACGAAACUUGCC
Molecule: ribosomal RNA, 645 nt
Filed under: Escherichia coli
Lineage: Bacteria; Pseudomonadati; Pseudomonadota; Gammaproteobacteria; Enterobacterales; Enterobacteriaceae
Description: partial 23S ribosomal RNA
Rfam family: Bacterial large subunit ribosomal RNA
Source: RNAcentral